This 1602-nucleotide long non-coding RNA is filed under the name Homo sapiens (human). Its description in RNAcentral is "HSALNT0357819". The record is from RNAcentral. Lineage: Eukaryota; Metazoa; Chordata; Mammalia; Primates; Hominidae.
ACACUGUGGAUCACACGCAUUAGCCUGGCACCUGGCAGCGCCCCGAGGGUCACAUUACUGGAAGAAGAAACCUGGAGCUGAUUCACAAAAGUAGAGUAAUCCUGUCUGCAGUUGAGAGUUGAAGCCACGAGGUGGCGCCCUCAGCACACUACUUGAGCUGUUGGGUUUUCCAGCGGCAAUGACCAGCACGGGGACAGAGGAUGUCCUGAAGAGGGGCUCUGUCCGCUUCAGGACGUCCAGGGGAGUCACCUGUGUAACACUCACAGGAAAUACAUGCUUCUGUGGGUACACAGCUGGGAACAGGGUGAGGCAAGUGAGUUAUCUUGGGUGCAAAUUUUAAGGGGCAAUGAGCGCCCCUCUCCCCUCACCCUGGUCCCGGCCCUGGGCCACCGGACUGGGACAUGUCUGUGAGGACCAGAGUUGGGGAGCGGCUCCCUGACACCCCAGGAGAGAGGGUGAUGCUUUGACCUCAGCCCUGGUCAGGUGGGGCCUACACCACGGGGACGCUAAAGCCCCUAUUCUGAUCCAGAGGCUGUGGCCGGAAUAAACGGAUGUACUUUCUGGGAGGGGAUUAAGGGGAUGGACGAGGUGCUGCCCCAUCCCUAUUCCCACUAUGAAUUGGAGCCACAGGGACAUGGAGGGUGUGGAGCUGAGCCGAGUGCGUCCCUGGAGUGCCCUUUCCUGUCUGCACUCGGGCUGGGCCAGCCUCCUGUGGCUCCUGCACAUGGCAGCCCCCCUCAGCUGGAGGAGCCACAGUGGAGCAGGCGUGGAGUCCGUGGCACCAUGGCAGGGGGUCUCUGUCCAGGGCCUGGGUACUCGGUGACACUGGGAGAGAAUGCAGCCUGCAGCGUGGCCUCGGAAACUGGAAUAAGAGAGCUGACCUAUGAAGGAGGCACGGGAAGCUGGGUGCAGAGAUGACCGAGAAACUGGCAAACAUUUUGGUAAACCAGAGCACCAUGCUGCGUGAGUGAGGAGUAACCAAGGUGGAAGUGUUAAGGAUGAGGUGGAACGAAUAUUCAUACCAUACAGUAACUAACACUGAACACAGUCACCUGGAAGAGAAGACUGGGGAGAAUCGGGACAUUAAGGCUCCUGGGCACUUGCGGUUUUUACUCCGGGUCAGCGCUGUCCAACAGGGAUAUAGUUUGAACCACGUCUAUAAUUAAACGCUUUCUGGUAGCCAUAUUAAAAAAGAAACAGGUGAAAUUGGUUUAAUAACAUAUUUUAUUUAGGGCAAUAUAUGCAAAAUACUAUCAUUUCCACAUAUAAUCAUUUAUAAAUAUUAUUUAUUGAAACAUUUUGUAUUCCUUUUUUUAUACCAACUCUUUCAAAUCCGGUGCAUAUUUUACAUUUAUAGCAUAUUCCAAUUUGGAUACUAAAUUUCUGCUGCAAAUAUUUUAUCUGUAUUUAGAGUUUACAAAAUUUAGAGUUAAAAAAAGAUUUUCAAGUUGUUCUAAACAUGCGUUUUUAGUAAUUGGAUUGUGUAUCAAUUUCUAAAUUAAGAUUAAAUAAAAUUGAACAUUUAAGUGCUCGGUUGAUCUAAUUUCAAAUGUGAUUAGUGGCCCUACUGUAUUGGAUAGUGCAGUGGUAGGCAUUUAAAAG